This is a long non-coding RNA of Mytilus trossulus (common blue mussel), 859 nucleotides long. RefSeq lists it as uncharacterized. The record is from RefSeq and is a predicted model, not a curated record. NCBI's taxonomy places the organism in Eukaryota, Metazoa, Mollusca, Bivalvia, Mytilida, Mytilidae. The transcript is spliced from 3 exons.
CCGAAAGUAGAAUGAUCAAGAAUGAUCAAGCAUGGUUGACCUCUUGGUUUGACAAAUAUUUCAUGAAAUCAUAUGGUGGAGAACUCUGUGGGCGAAGAGGAUCUAAACAUGUUGGUGAUAUACCUACCAAAGAAAGGCAAAAGAUAUAAAGACACUUCCUCUCACUGUUCUCUGUAACCUCUUUCAACAGUGAAGAAAUCCAAGGGGAUGCUGGGGCAUAACUUUAUUGAAACCAGAGUUCUGGCCUGUGGUUACAAACUUCAGAAGUGGAGAACUGGGUGGGUGAGGAGGAUCCAAACAUUUUGGUGAUAUACCUUCCAAAGAAAGACAAAUGAUAUAAAGACACUUCCUCUCACUGUUACCCUUUUAAACAGUGAUGAAAUCAAGGGGGUGCUGGGGCAUACAUUUAUUGAAACCAGAGUUCUGGUCCGUGGAUACACACUUCAGAAGUAUCUUUUGUUAUGUUGCAUAUAAUAGAAAAACUUGGGUUUAGUGGUAAAUAGAGCAAAGAUUUUUGCAGAAAAUCGAGACUUUAAAAUAGUGUGUUUGAAUUAAAAUUUACUUUUAAUACAUAAUCAUAUUAACAGUUCAAAGCGAAAGUUAUUUUGAAUAGAGAGAGAAACACUCUUUUGAUAGAAGAAAACAAGAAGAAGCGACAUAUUUUAAAGGCAAAAUUGUUGUCCACUUUGACUUCAGGAGAUAGAACAUACAUCUUACAUUGUUUAAUUAUUUGAAGGUUGCAAAUUCAUGCAUUCAUAUCGAUAAAAUACAAAAUAAAAAAUAGAAAAUGAUUUUAAAUUGUGUAUGUGUGUGAUUGUGAUAUGUUAUAUAAGCAUUAGUUAAAGACAACAUUACAAUA